UAAUUAUCUAACCAUAUACGUGAAGAAACAGAGACUCAGAGAAGUUGAGAUAUUGCUUAAACCACAGCACUAUUUAGGGCAAAACCAACAAGAAGUUUCAUGACCCCCCAGUCCAUUGUCGUCUGAACUGGAUUAUCGGCUUUACUUAUUGCUUAGUGAUGAUAUGAUAUAUGUUCCAGGGAAGCAUAUGAUCUGACCUUCAUCUGAACACAAUAGACUGGUUCUGAUUUUUCCAGCCAAAGAGAAAGUAUUUGGGUUUUGAGCAUCUUUUUAACUGAGAACAUUCCUCUUCCUGGCUAUGAAAACCUUCCCCUAUGUAGUAGGAAGACUGCUACACUAACCAGACUUCACCCAUUGCUUUCCAAAAACCAAUGUGAAAAGGCUAUUGAACUGAACAGUGUAUUGUUUUGUCUGCAGCUUAUCCAGCAUGCAAAAAUACAGACUUUCUCAGUGUGCAUUGUUCUGUGUUCAGUUUCACAACUGUAAAGAAUAACUUAUUCCAUGUAAGAUUUUGUGUUGUGCCUAAAACACGAAAUAAUCCCCCUAGGACCUACUAGAAAAGUAUCUUAUGCUAUAAGAACACUGAUCAUUUCUGCUACAAGCACACAUAGAGGUUGUGUUCUAAAGUGUUAAUCUUCCUCUGGGGGUGGCUAGAGAACAGCUUACAAAGCGGGGAGAAAUCUGGCUCAUGUCGACAAAGCACUCACAGCUCUUUAGAAGAGAAGUAUUGUGUAAGUGCAAAGCUAUAAUUAUAUAAAAGCAUUCAGAGGAUAAUAUUAGCCAUAAUUGUAUUAAAUAUUAAUAUUAAUGCAAAUGGUGGCUAAGAGCUUAAAGAAGAGCUUAUAAACUGUAACAGUCAAUAACAGUGGAGUAAAGGUAUAUAAAAUUUGUAUAUUCCCAACCAUGCAUACCAGACAAACCCAACAAACUGAAAACUAAUAAGUUGCUAAAA
Molecule: long non-coding RNA, 952 nt
Filed under: Pongo abelii (Sumatran orangutan)
Lineage: Eukaryota; Metazoa; Chordata; Mammalia; Primates; Hominidae
Description: lincRNA
Source: RNAcentral